Molecule: ribosomal RNA, 397 nt
Filed under: uncultured bacterium
Lineage: Bacteria
Description: partial 16S ribosomal RNA
Rfam family: Bacterial small subunit ribosomal RNA
Source: RNAcentral
AUACGUAGGGGGCGAGCGUUGUCCGGAAUGAUUGGGCGUAAAGGGCGCGUAGGCGGCCCGGUAAGUCUGGAGUGACAGUCCUGUUUUUAAGAUGGGAAUUGCUUUGGAUACUGUCGGGCUUGAGUGCAGGAGAGGUAAGUGGAAUUCCCAGUGUAGCGGUGAAAAGCGUAGAUAUUGGGAGGAACACCAGUGGCGAAGGCGGCUUUCUGGACUGUAACUGACGCUGAGGCGCGAAAGUGUGGGGAGCAAACAGGAUUAGAUACCCUGGUAGUCCACGCUGUAAACGAUGAAUGCUAGGUGUAGGGGGGAUCGCCCCCUUCGGUGCCGCAGUCAACGCAAUAAGCAUUCCGCCUGGGGAGUACGGCCGCAAGGUUGAAACUCAAAGGAAUUGACGGGG